GGACAAAUAGUUACGACCUAAACCGUUUUCAACACGUCAACACACAACCGAUGCAAACAACACACUAAACAGUUUUUAUUAUGCAUGAGAGUUGGAAAUAUUAAUCUACGCGAAAUUCUACACGUUUGACUUAUCUACGAAUUUUGCAUAAGAGCCAGCGUUUAAAUGUUAUAAACGUUUAAAAAUCAAUGGUCUUUUGAAAUUCUUAAAAAAACCCUAGCGCCAACAACAACAACAAAAAAAAAC
RNAcentral lists this long non-coding RNA (246 nucleotides) under Hordeum vulgare. Its description in RNAcentral is "long non-coding RNA (HVUL_LNC018829)". The record is from RNAcentral. Lineage: Eukaryota; Viridiplantae; Streptophyta; Magnoliopsida; Poales; Poaceae.